UAUUGUAUGUUGUAUUUGCAGU
RNAcentral lists this microRNA (22 nucleotides) under Drosophila melanogaster (fruit fly). Its description in RNAcentral is "dme-miR-2489-3p". Lineage: Eukaryota; Metazoa; Arthropoda; Insecta; Diptera; Drosophilidae. The record is from miRBase by way of RNAcentral. RNAcentral also lists the same sequence under 1 other name.